Molecule: long non-coding RNA, 22164 nt
Filed under: Nicotiana benthamiana
Lineage: Eukaryota; Viridiplantae; Streptophyta; Magnoliopsida; Solanales; Solanaceae
Description: long non-coding RNA (NBEN_LNC014884)
Source: RNAcentral
UAACUCAAAAACUAUCAUAUAAAUAACUCCGCAACUCAACAUGACACAACUCCCUAGAAUCUGGUGAUAGCAAGUCACCAGUUCUACAAGAAAGUACUAAACAUCCCAAUACAACAAUGUCUAAAAACAAGGGAGAAAUGAAGUAGAACUAGUUAGAGGGUGACUCCGCGUCUUGCGGAUACCAGCAUGUAUAUUUUGAAGUAUCUAAGUCUGAACUUUAGCUCACGGGGGCUUAAGCUGGUAAGAGGUACCUGGAUCUGCAUAAAAGAUGUGAAGAAACAUAGCAUAAGUACACCACAUUAGUACCCAAUAAGUAUCAAGCCUAACCUCAGUAGACUAGUGACGGGGUCAGGUCAAGGCCCUGCUACAAUGAAUAAGAAAACUGAACAGGUAUACAUAAUAGUGUAAUAAUGAUAAACAUUGAAAAUAAGACAAUGACGAGAUAUACCAAGAAUAACUACACUGAAAUAAAGCAAAUAGGACAUAAAGAAAAUUAGGAAUGAUACAUUCAGAAUAGACAACCGAAACACAAGUAAUGUAAUAAAAAAGUAUCAACAAAGAUCACUACCAAGGUGCCACUUCAUAGUCUCAUAUCACAAAACAAUUCACAAUCUUUCCUUAUAUCACCACGGGAGCCUUAUAUUUAGUUUAGAAAAUUAUUUUUCCCGAAAUAGCUUCUCGCAUUUUAGCCCAUCUUAUCACACUUUGUGGCUUCAAGUAGUUUCCCAACUAGCAACACGCAUAUCAAGCCUACCUUAUCUUACUGCAUACUUUCAACCCUAAUCCUUAUACCACAACAUGCGUGUCAAUAUCACAAUGUAUCAAAUCACACCUCAAGUGCCCAAGAUCGCAACUUGCCAAAAAGGUCAACAAUAAUGGUAUUUCUACAAUAAAUAUCCAAGGGCUCAACCACAAUAUGCAUAGAAGUCUCAACAAUUAUAGCCGAAAUGAAUAACUCAACAAGAAUAUUAUUUCACAUAUUCACAACUUUGCCUCAAUGUGAGUAACAACCGUUAUAACUCAAUACCAGUUCAACAAUAAAAUAUGCCAAGAAUUAACAAUUUGAAGUAAGAAACUCAAUGGUUAAAUAGGGGAUAAAGAAUAGAGAAACAAUAACUUCAACUAAACAUGUAAAGACAAUUAACAAGUAAGAGAUAAGACAAGUAAAACAUGUGAAAAUAGACUAAUAAUGAUAAAUAUAUGAUAUAUUAGUAACUCAAUUGAAGGCAUGGAAGGAAUCUACAUUGCUAGAACCGGUCAAUUACCACAUUUAGCAUGUGCACACACUUGUCACCUUGCGUAUACAACUUCCACAUUCACAAUUAACACUAAUCCUAAGGUAAUCCCCCCCCCCCCCCCAAAUUAGAAANNNNNNNNNNNNNNNNNNNNNNNNNNNNNNNNNNNNNNNNNNNNNNNNNNNNNNNNNNNNNNNNNNNNNNNNNNNNNNNNNNNNNNNNNNNNNNNNNNNNNNNNNNNNNNNNNNNNNNNNNNNNNNNNNNNNNNNNNNNNNNNNNNNNNNNNNNNNNNNNNNNNNNNNNNNNNNNNNNNNNNNNNNNNNNNNNNNNNNNNNNNNNNNNNNNNNNNNNNNNNNNNNNNNNNNNNNNNNNNNNNNNNNNNNNNNNNNNNNNNNNNNNNNNNNNNNNNNNNNNNNNNNNNNNNNNNNNNNNNNNNNNNNNNNNNNNNNNNNNNNNNNNNNNNNNNNNNNNNNNNNNNNCCUAAGGUAAUCCCCCCCCCCCACCAAAUUAGUAAAGACACUUACCUCAAAACAUGCCAACUCACUUCAUUAGUAAGCAUUUCCCUCUAUUAUCCAUUCUUCGAACGACUUGAAUCUAGCCAAAACAACUUCAUACCAUAAAUACAUACUAUAGGAGGUUAUUAUGAACAAUAAAGUUGCAAUCUUUAUGGAAAAAUGAAAAUUCAACUCAAAAAGCCAACUACAUGCUCGUGUCUUGAAACACGACCAAAAUAAUAAAAAUGUGAACACUCAUUUGAUAACGAGUCCAAUUAUAUAAGAAUUACUGAUUUCGAUUGCAACUACCCAAAAUUUAGUCUAAGAAGUUUCACAAUUUUUUUCUCUAAAUUUUCAACUCAAAUCACUAAUUAAAUGAUAAAAAUAAUAAUGGAUUCAUGUAAUAUAGUCAAAUUCGGGUUAGAAUUAGUUACUUUGAUGAUUUUCUUGAAAAUCCAUUGAAAAAUCACCACAAACCGAGCUCUCUAAGUCCAAAAAUAAAAGAUUAGAUAAAAUCCUCGACCUAAGAAUUUUCAGUCCACCUAUUUGUGCAUCUGUGGGAGUAAGGCCCGUGAAAACUUGUAUUCAAAACCUAGUAGCUCGUAGUGCCAAGUUUCAAAUAUGUGUUAGGAAUAUGUAAAUUCUUCAUGGCGAGCUUGCGAGCCGUGGUUCGUACCCUUUGUACUGAUCUAGAAUUUAAAAAUCAAGAAUCAAAGUUUUCCAGAAUAGUGCUAUUAUGCGGUCCAGAAUGCAGUCACAAAUCAAGUAUGCAGACCACAUUUCAAAGUGAGUCAGGGUAUUAGUCAAAAUUGAGGUCAAAAUACGGUCCAUUAUGCGAUCGCAUAACUGAUAUGCGGACCGCAUAGUCAUCGCAUAUUUAUCUUGGAAUUUUGCAAGAGGGUAGUUCUGUGGUGCAUUACGCGACCACAGAUGAGGUAUGUGGACUGCAUUUUUGCCGCAAACCCAAACAGAAAUGUUUAGAGUUUUGGAGCACUUUUGCGGUUCAUUCUGCGGACCGCAUUUCCUCUUUGCGAUCGCAUACCUGACUCGGGGCUCUAAUUUUUUUAACUUUUAAACCCGACCCCUUUUUCAAUAAAAUACCCCGAACCCUCAUUUUAACAUAUUUUCUGAACAAAACUAGAGAAGGAAGAGAGAAUUCUUGAGAGAGAAAGCCUUACCUCUAUCAGUUUGAUUUUCAAAGUCACCCAAGUAAUUGUCUUUAUCUCCGUUUUUGCAGGUAGAAUCCCCAACCCUUUUUCAUUGGUUUUCAGAUUUAAAGAAAAAGGGGUAUUUUCAUGCAUUAGUUCUUGAAAAUAUAAGUUGAACCAUACAUGCAUGUUCGUUAAUACCUAAAAUCUAGUAAGAGGAAUUGGGUAGGAGUAAAAAUUUGCAAAAAGGAGUGAUUAUAACCUAAAUAAGUUCGAGUUAUAUUUGUGAACUUCAAUUCUAAGAUAUAUGUGUUAACUUGUUAACUAGAUUGACGAUACUAGGCUAUUUUGUGAAUUGAAUGUACAAGUUAAAAAGGAAAUUCGACUCCAGGUAUGUAUGACUAACUUUAACCUUUGUAAAGUCACCUUGUUUGGUGUACGAGUAAUUGGUAUGUAUUAAUUAUGUGGACUAUUUGUGAUUUUGGUGAUUAAUAUGCCUUGAUCAUUGUUGGUUAAGCAUCCCAAUAUGUGGUAAGAGCUGUGUAAUAAAUGAUAGAAAGAAAUUGUAAUUGAUGCAAUGGAAACAACUGCGGUAAUAUCAUUUGUGACUUGUCGUGGGCAAUUAUCGUUGUGACUUAAAUUGUAUACAGGCUAUUGGAUAUGAUGGAAAUGGUACUGAGAUUAAUGAAAACUCAUUGUAAAAUUGUUAUUGUUGUUGUGAACUGUUAUUUUGGAUGGCCUGAAGCGAUGUGUUUGAGCUGUGAAUUAUUGUUGUUGUGUGAAAUGUGAUUGUCCGGUGGGAUCAGGUUGCGCGCGGCAAUACGAAGUUAUAAGUGUGGAUUGUGGUGAUAAGGGUGGCAAAGUUAAUAAGGGUGGCCGAGGUAAUAAAGGUGGAAAAGUAAUCGAAAUCACUAUUGAAAUGAAAAUAUGUCAAAGUUGUGAAAAUCAUUGAUGUGAUGUAAUUAUGUUGACAGGGGCAAAUGAGAGAUUGUGAAACUUGUAGGCUUUGAUUGUUGAUUCAAUUACUAUUUGAUAUCUGUGAAUUGAUUUAUUUUACUUGGGGUAAAGUUUGUUCAUAAAAACCAAUACAAUUCAAAUGUACUAACAUCCCUUUUGCCCUGGGCUCUACAUUCUUGUUAUGAUUGUAGGUGGUUGUAUGGCAGGUACUCCAGUCCACAGAUAGUAGCACCUCCUCCACUUUCCGCCAGUUGUAUUGGUGAGCCUCUUCCCACUCGGGGCCCUGCGUGGCUCAUGCCGCUUUUCUUCUUGGAGUAUUAUUUUGGUCUUUGUGUAUUGUAAGGUAUAGCUGGGGCCUUGUCGCCGGCAAGUAUUAGUUAAGUUCCUAGUAUCCAUAGAGGCUCCGUCGAGACAAUGCGGGUGGUGUGCAAAAGUAUUAUGGGUAGAAAUUGUACGGUUCGGAAUCAUGGCCCACGUUGGUAAAUAUUGUAUGUAUUUUGCAAGUACUUGGCAUCAAAUAUUGAAAAAUGAUAAAAAGGAGAAAUGAACUCAAGUUGCAAGUUUAUGCUUAAGUCUUAAAUUGCUAUUUCACAAGAAUAAUGUAUAUUGAAAUUAUGGGGCUACGCGUGGGAUAGGAAAGGCGAUUCCAUGUCCUCUUGACGGGGGUCCUCCGGUUGAGUGCUGGUCGUGUCCCUCGGUUUUGGGGCGUGAUAGCGGGCUUACUGUUGCACCUGUGAUGUUGUACCUACGGAAAAUCCAUCACAAGGGUGAUUCCAAAUAAUCCCCUAAGUUUACACUUCGGCAGACCAAAAUAGCGCACCCGCAGCGGGUCUCCGCUUCUCCAACCCCAGGGUAGCUAGCCCUUUUCCGCUAAUGUGAUGAAUUUCUCGCACCCGCGAGUCCUCUUCUGCAGAUAAACGUCUGCACCUUUGGCCGCAGCUGACUAUGUUCAAACUCGCUUAUAUGGCGUGAGUUUCUCUCCUAUGGUGUUGCAUCUACGGCCCAAAGUGCGCAGGUGCGGUUGCACUAGACACAACAAAGGUUUCAAUCACCUAAGUCAAAAAGUAUUCCGGGUUGAAUCCGAAUCACACCCGGGGCCCCUAGAACUCCGUCCGAAUAUAUCAACAAGUUGCAAAACACAUAACAGACCUACUCUAGGGCAAAAAUCACAUCAAAGAACAUCGAUUUAACGAAUCACAACCUAAUUCAAUCAUAUUUAUGCUAUAAACAUCCAACUUCCAAAACUAACGUUGAAUCAUACCAAAACAACUCUGGUUAAGCUCAAAUUUUGUACACAAGUCAUAAAUGACAUGAUAGUCUUAUUCUAACAUCACGAAUUAGGACCCGACCCGGAUAUCAAUAAAGAAAACUCCCGGUCAAUCUUCUCAACCUUUCAAACCUUUAACUUUCUAACUUUUUCCAAAUCAAGUCAAAAUGACGUACGAACCUAUAAAUCAACAUACGGACACACUCCUAAGUCCAAAAUUGCCAUAUAGAGCUAUUAGAACCGUCGAAUUUCAAUUCCAAAGUCGUGUGCUCAAAAGUCACACCAAUUAACUCUUUCUCCAACCUAGGGAUAUAUGUUCCAUUUCACUCAGAAACGCAUUCGAAACCAAAACCAAACACCCUAGCAAGUCACAUAACUACAAUACAACAUAGAGGAGGCAAUAAAUAGGGAAUGAGGGAUAAAAUACUUAAAAUGACGGGUUAGAGUCGUUACAUUGUCUCCCUCUUAAAAUAACAUUUGUCCUCGAAUGAGUAUAAAGACAUACCUACAGUCGUGAGAAGAUCAGAAUAACAACUAUGCAUAUCAUGCUCGGUCUCUCGCCUCUUCGGCUGAUUGACCCCUCCACUUAACCCUUACUAAUAUAAUGCUCUUCUAAUUUAGCUUUCGGACAUGCUUGUCCAAAAUGAAUGCUGGCUCUUCAACAUCAGACAAAUCCUUGUCCAACUAGACUGAGCUAAAAUACAACAUAUGGGACGGAUCACCGUGGUAGUUCUAGAGCAUAGAAACGUGGAAUAUUGGAUGAACUGUAGUUUGAUUAGGUGUCAAGAUAAGCUUGUAGGACACUUUACCAAUCCUCUCAAGGAUCGCAAAAGAUUCGAUAUACCUAGGGCUCGACUUGCCAUUCUACACGAACCUCAUAGCAUCCUUCAGGGGCGAAACUUGGAGCAAUACUCGCUCUCCAACCAUGAAUACAACAUCUUGAAACUUCUAAUUCACAUAACUCAUCUGUCUAGAUUCACUUGUAUGAAGCCGAUCUUGAAUCAAUUUAACAUUUUCCAAAACAUCCUGAACGAAGUGAGAACCCAAUAACCUAGCCUCCCCCAACUCAAACCAACCCACCGGAGACCCACACUACCUCCCAUACAAGGCCUAAUACGGAGCCAUCUGAGUGCUCGAUUGGUAGCUGUUAUUGUAAGCAAUCUUCGCAAGAGGCAUAAACUGAUCCAAAGAACCCCCUAAUUUUGUGACACAAGCACGAAGCAUAUCCUCUAAUAUCUGAAUAGUGCACUCGAACUUCCCGUCCAUCUGAAAAUGGAAUGUUGUACUUAACUCAACUCAUAUUUCUAGCUCACAUUGUACGACCUUCCAGAAUCGCAAUAUAAACUAUUUAUUUCAAUCAAAGAUGAUGGAUAUCGGCAUACCAUGAAUUUGGAAAAUCUCGCGAAUAUAGACAUGAGCCAACUGCUCUGAAGAAUAAGUGGUCACCACAAGAAUGAAGUGAGCCGACUUUUUCAACCUAUCUACGAUCACCGAUAUUGCAUCAAACUUCUUCUGAGUUUGUGGGAGCCCUACAACGAAAUCCAUAGUAACUUGCUCCCAUUUCCACUCGGGAAUCUUAAGCCUCUGAAGUAACCCACUUAACCGUUGAUGCUCAUGCUUUACCUACUGACAAUUUUGACACCGAGCUACAUACUCUACUAUGUCUUUCUUUAGCCAUCUCCACAAAUAUUGCUACUUGAAGUCCUAAUACAUCUUGGCGGCACCCGAUGAAUGGAGUACUGCAAACAGUCGGCCUCCUGAAGAAUCAACUCACGCAAACAUUCAUGCCAGCCUUACAUCUGUAACACCGUCAUCCCUAAUAGUAAACUUACUGGCAUCGCCGUACUGAAAUUGUACUUGAGCACAAGCAAAUGGGGGUCAUCACACUAACACUCUUUGAUACGAUCUUAUAGAGAAGACCGAAAAUCCACGCAAGCCAAAACUUAACUCGGCUCCGAAACAUCCAAUCUAUCAAAUAGGUUGGCCAAAGCCUGAAUAUCCAAUGCAAAUGGCCUCUUUGCUACAAGUGAAUAUUCUGAAUUGCCCAAGCUCUCCACCUUUUGACUCAAGGCGUCGACCACAACAUUAGCCUUCCUGGGAUGAUACAGAAUGGUAAUAUCAUAGUCUUUAAGCAACUCUAACCACCUCCACAACCGCAAGUUAUGAUCCUUGUGUUUUGAACAAAUGUUGUAGCCUUCGGUACUUAGUAGACCUUACAAGGGACACAGUACAGGUAGUGCUGCUAAAUCUUCCAGUCAUGAAUAAUAGCUGCUAAUUCCAGGUCAUGGACAAGAUAGUUCUUCUCAUGCACCUUAACUACCUAGACGUAUAGGUAGUCACCCUACUGUCUUGCAUUAACACCAUGCUAAGGUGAACAUGCGACACAUUAUAGUACAUAAUUUAAGACCCUGAAACCAUAUGCAACACCAAUAAUUAAGCUGAAGUCAAAUAAGUCUUAAGCUUUUGAAAGCUCUCCUUACACUAGGUCCAUCUGAAUAGAGCACCAUUCUCGGUCAAUAUGGUCAUAGGUGUACAAUAGAUGAGAAACCCUCUAUGAAACGACGGUAAUACCCUGCCAAACAAAGAAAACUCUGGAUCUCAAUGGCUAAAAUGGUCUAGGCUACCUCUGCACUACUUUAGUCUUCUUAGGGUCUACCUUGACCCCUUCACUCGAUACUACAUGACCCAAAAACACCACCGAAUCAAGCCAAUAUUAAAACUUUGAAAAUUUUGCAUACAACUUUUUUUCUCUCAAGGUCUUCAACAUUGUCCUCAAAUUCUGCUCAUGAUCCUCCCGGCUCCAGGAGUACUGCAAGAUGUCAUCAGUAAACAUAAUGAAAAAUGAGUUAAGGUAGGGCUGUAAUACACUUUUCAUCAAGUGCAUAAAUGUUUCUAAGCUGUUGUUCCACCUAGAUGACAUCACAAAGAACUCGUAAUGACCAUACCAUGUCCUAACUACAAAUCAAUCUUCGAGAACACUCUCUCACCCUGUAGCUGAUCAAAUAGGUCAUCAAUAUGUGGCGAUGGAUAUAUGUUCUUUACUAUAACCUUAUUCAAAUGACAAUAAUCAAUACACAUGCUCAUAGACUCAUCCUUCUUCUUUACAAACAAGAUCGGAGCACCCCUAGGUGAAACACUAGACCGAUUGAAAUCCUUAUCAAGCAACACCUGCAACUAGUCUUAACUCUUUCAACUCCACUGGGGCCAUACAAUAUGGUGGAAUUAAAAUGGGCUGAGUGCCCGACAAUAAGUCAAUACCAAAAUUGAUAUCCCUAUCAUGAGGCAUGCACGGAAUAUCCGCCGGGAAUACAUCUAGUUAGUCUCUUACUAUCGGAACUGAUUCAACGGUAGGGGUGUCAACACUUAGAUCUCUUACAAAGGCUAGAUAAGCAUCACACUACUUCCGAACCAUACGAUAUGCCUUUAGAAAAUGCACCAUACUGAUAGGAAAAUAAUCCAAAGUACCCUUCCACUCUAACCACGAAAAACCUGACAUAGCCAACAUUACCAUCUUGGCAUGACUAUCGAGAAUAGCAUGAUAGAAAGGCAACUAGUCCAUGCCCAAAAUAGCAUCAAAAUCUACUAUACUGAGAAACAAUAAAAUGACUCUUGUCUCAAAACCACCUAGAAAACUAAACACGACCGAAUAUCCCCCACAGGUGUUAACACAGUAAUAAGUAAACUCAAUGAAUCAUGGGAUAAUUCCAAAUACGGAGCGAAGUAAGAUGACACAUAUGAAUAAGUGGAGGCUGGACCAAAUAAUAUAAAUGCAUCUCAAUGAAAAACUGGAACAACACCUGUGAUGACUGCAUCUGAUGCAACCACCUUUGACCUACCCGAAAAUGAAUAGCAUCUGGCUUGGCCUUCCCCUUUAGGGCGACCCUUACCUGCCUGACCUCUACCCUUAGCUGAAUAAGUACGUAGAGUGAUAGCUGGUCUGGUAACCACGGCCAGAGAAGUGUGGGGGCCCUACGAAAUACGUGUAGCUUGAGUAGUCUAUGGAGGUGCACCUCUAUGAAGUCUAGGGAAGUUCCUCACCAUAUGAUGAGUAUCACCACAAUAAAAACUAGCUCUCAGAGGACGUGGCUACUAAACAUGACUCGGGCCUGGCCGACUAGACAGACCGCUGAAAGCACCCCGUGAAGGAGGUGCACUAGAUAGUUGUGGUUCAAAAUGGGCAGCCUAAGACCUAGGAGUAGCCGAAAUACUGAUGGAAUAUGGAAGUGCUAAAUAAACUGGGCAGCUCGCAUACCCUCUACUAGGAUAAGCUAGAACUGGGGCACAAACACCAUUAUAUGUGCCAAAAUCAUAAGAGGCCUCUUAGCCUCCCUAUCAUUUCUCUUCUGACCCUGCGUACCCUCCAAUCACUAGGAGAUAUUUGAUGGUGAGCUAUAAUCUCGUGUUUUAGUUGCACUCUAAUUUACUGCACUUUACUUGUAUUGAGCUUUAGUUUGUAGUGUCUUGCGCUUAUUGUGUGUUUUAUGCCUUGUAGAAGUGAUUCCAAGUGAUAUAGAUGUUGUGGAGUUAAUUUGAGUUAUUUGAAACUUAGAAGUCUGAGUAAAAUCCUAAGGGAUUAAGCUGGGAUCAUGUUCGGGGUAGAGGAACACAUUUGAACAUCAAAUAUCAAGUAAAAAGCAACUUUCUAAGGAUUUUGCACUGUUGCAGCGCAUGACGCGAUGUUGUGGUGCACGCAAUAGCCUAUUUGUGCUGCUUGAGAAUUUUGCAAGCUCACUAGAUAUCCCCGCAAAUGUCAUGCAUGGCUCAUCGCCCUAUGUGGUGUGCCGGUCUAUUUUCCUAGAUCUAUUGUCCUCUUUUGGCUAGGAAAGGGUUGUUUUGUUUGGGGCAGACCCUACUUUGUAUAAAUACAUGGAAAAUUGUUAUUUUCUGGACUUUUGGCAUACUUUGGACCAAAGGAGGCUAAGGAGGAGUUUGAAGAAUCCCAGCACGAGGAUAUCAUCAUUCCUUCUUCACUUAAGACACGAGUAUGGAUUGAAUUUAUGUUUUCUUGUACUUUAAUUAUAUUUGUGAUGAAUUAUUACAUGUCUAUAGAGUACUUCACUUUAUGGUUUGCCAGAUUUGAUGUAUUGAUAACUGUUUAUGGAUUAACUCUAGUUUUAUAUUAAAGCAUUUUUGGAUGAUUUAAUUAUUAAACCUAUAUUCACUUGUUCAUGUAAUCGAGAGAGGAAUAACUUGUGAUGUCAUUGCAUUAUAAUUUUGGUUGAAUCCAUAUAUUCUUCUAAGUAAUCAAAAUAAUCUACAACAACAACAACAACUACCCAGUACAUUCCCACCAGGUGGGGUCUGGGGAGGGUAAUAUNNNNNNNNNNNNNNNNNNNNNNNNNNNNNNNNNNNNNNNNNNNNNNNNNNNNNNNNNNNNNNNNNNNNNNNNNNNNNNNNNNNNNNNNNNNNNNNNNNNNNNNNNNNNNNNNNNNNNNNNNNNNNNNNNNNNNNNNNNNNNNNNNNNNNNNNNNNNNNNNNNNNNNNNNNNNNNNNNNNNNNNNNNNNNNNNNNNNNNNNNNNNNNNNNNNNNNNNNNNNNNNNNNNNNNNNNNNNNNNNNNNNNNNNNNNNNNNNNNNNNNNNNNNNNNNNNNNNNNNNNNNNNNNNNNNNNNNNNNNNNNNNNNNNNNNNNNNNNNNNNNNNNNNNNNNNNNNNNNNNNNNNNNNNNNNNNNNNNNNNNNNNNNNNNNNNNNNNNNNNNNNNNNNNNNNUAGGAUAANNNNNNNNNNNNNNNNNNNNNNNNNNNNNNNNNNNNNNNNNNNNNNNNNNNNNNNNNNNNNNNNNNNNNNNNNNNNNNNNNNNNNNNNNNNNNNNNNNNNNNNNNNNNNNNNNNNNNNNNNNNNNNNNNAAGAGACAACAAAAUAAUAAAGCUAAUCCCGCAGACAAAAUAGGCUAGUUGAAUCAUUUAUUAAACCUAAUUAGGAGGACAAUUGAGAGCGGCUCUCCUAAAGAUCAACCCAUUACAUAUUCUUGCAUAUCUUCACAUAUCUUAAAUUAGUUCAUAUCGCGAGGUUGAGACUUAAUCAAGAGAGGAGUUUCUGCUAAACAUUUGAACUAAUAAUUGAGUGAAUUCGAGAGAACCAAUUGAACAUUAGAAAUGAAUUAUCUAGAAUUAGAUCCUAAACAAUUAUCUUGCACCUAUCAUAUCAAAACCCUAUCUUUGAGCAGCGAGCAUAAUUACGUAUGUAUUUUGUGCUGGUCAAAUUUUGGCAUUGUUGCCGAGGAUUGGAAAUCAAUAGUGUUUGAAAUAGUUUGUAGUGCUAAUUUAGGAUUUUUUUUUCUUUUUUCACUUUUUAUGUUUGGUGUUCUUUGACAGUGCGCAGAGUAUAAGUUAAUGUCACACCUUUUUUUUCCUUCUCGUGUCGGGAGAAUUGGGUUAAUGACAUUUUGGGUAUAGGACAACUUAUUCCUUUUGGGAAUUGGAUUUUUCAUUUUUGAAGAGUUGCCACCUAAUUAUUGAAGGUGCAUCAGGACACCUUCAAGGUUUAUUUCCAAGUUUUCUUGAUAACCUGAGAUAGGGUAAGGGCUUAAAAUUAUCCUAAGGGGAAGGUGUUAGGCAUCCCUCAAGAUCCACUAGUGUGGUUUUCGAAGAGAUAGUUCCUUGUGAAUUUAGUAUGAUUAACAUAUAAACAGAUAUGGCUCAAAUAAGGGGGAACUUUAAUACACGGCGGUUUGAAAGUAAACAAAGUUUGAAAGAGCAAUAGAAAUGAUGAUUUUUAAAGGAGUUAUAAUGCUUUAAAGUAAAGGAAAGAAAAGGAUGGGGGUCCUAGGUUUAUUAUAAUAUGGAUCACAUCAAUGCAAUACCCGGUAAUCACUCCUUAAAAGAGGGGCUACGCGUGGUAUUACCGAACCGGUCAUCAUAUCCAUAUCUACCCUUUCCCAACAUGUUCAAGGUACUAAAGCGCGGAUUGGUCUCGACCACUAUUGCAUGCUAUUACCUGCCCUUUUCUAUCAGUCCCGGAGGCACUUAGGACUACUAUUCCUACAAAGGAGGGAUAUUAGGCUGACUAGGGGUUUCAAAGGUGAAAAAUCUAAGGUGACAUACAAAAUAUUUAGGACUGCACAUUAAGCGGAAGCACAUAAGCAGUGAAGGCUUAGGUAUACCUCCUCAAAUAAAGCAAUUAGAUAGCAUGAUUCAAAAAAAAAAGCAAAGUCUGAUUUUUUUUAGAAGUCCUAAAAUAGUGGAUUUCGAGUCAGAGCCAGAUUCAUGAGAUACCUCAGAUAAGAAGUCCCAAUUAGGCAUGUCUGCUGGUUGUAGCACUUACUAAUUAAUAGAGGGAAAUUCAGUUUUAUUAUUAUUAUUACCUAAUGCUUGCCUAAGUGUUUAGGGAAGACCUUAGGAUGGUAUAUGUUGUUGAUUCUGAAUGUGGCAAAGUAGUAACAAAUUAAAACAAGUGAUUUGAGAUCCUAUUGGCAUGUUUGGUAAAUCGUGCUAAUAAAAAGAGAUUAAACUACUUAAAAACUGGUUCAGAGUAGACAAAUUUUUAAACUUAGACUAGCUUCAGUUUCUUUAGAUGAGGGUAUCCCUUAUUGCUGAUUUUUAUUCCUAUGAACGUGAAAUCUACUAUUAAUGAUAUUAAACCCUUAAAGACAUGGCGUCUAAUAGUUGAUUUAAUCCAUAUAGUUAUGAUAUCUCGUUGAAAACGGGAACAUGCAGGAUUUUAGAUAGGAAUUCAUAUAGGCAAGAUUUCUAUAUAUUGUACCGACUUGAACAUGAUGCUAGAUUAUAACCAAUUGGACCCUAAGAGCAUGGUGCUAGGUUAUAACCAAUUGGACCCUUCAGUUGGAAUGACGGCUUCUGUACUAUAAACUAGCAUACAAGGGGUUGUCUCGGCUGAUGUGUGCACUGUGGUGCAACACCCCAAUAGAGCAAAUGAUAACGUGUUGUGCUGCUAUUUAUGCUUCUCUAUCAUUUUCCUUAAUAUCUUCUUGAUAUUCUUCUUGACAGCUUCUAGCUCCAUUCAUUUGUGGCCUGUAGGCUGUAGAAUUCUUGUGUUUGAUCUUGAAGGUUUCACACAUAGCCUUCAUCAAGUCGCUAUUGAGGUUGGAUCCAUUAUCAGUAAUGAUCGACUCUAAAAUACCAAAUUAGCAAACAAUGCAGUCACGCACAAAGUUUUCCACGACUUUCUUAGUCACUACUCUAUAAGAUGCCGCUUCGACCCACUUGGUGAAGUAGUCAAUUGCCACUAGGAUGAAUCCGUUUGAAGGGGUUGGCUCAAUUGAUCAAUGAAAUUCUUGUCUGGAUAUUGUAUCAUAGAUGACAGGGUAGCCAAUGCAUUGGCGAAAUCAUUCUGGACUCCGGGAACAUGCUGGAACUCCGUUCUCGUGAACCUCCUUCUUAAUUCCUGUACAUGAUGUAGAUAUAGGUGUAUCUUGGAUGGUUACCCAUUCUUCUCGUAUAUGAUGUAUAAGCAAGUCUGAAUCUCCAAUCACUAGCAACUCAUGAAUGUUUAUGUUAAUGGCCAUGUUGAGCCCUAAGAUGUAGGCUUCAUACUUAGCCAUAUUGUUGGUGCACGAGAAUUUGAGUUUUACAGACACCGGGUAGUGCUGAGAAGUUUCUGACAACAAGACUGCUCAUAUGCCAGCUUCUUUGAAAUUUUAUGCUCCAACGAAAAACAUUCUCCAACCGUCGUAGGAUUCUACGAUAUCUUCUCCUAUGAACAAUAUCUAUUCAUCAGAAAAAUAUGUUUUCAAAGGCUCAUAUUCUCCAUCCACAUGGUUUAUGGCAAGAUGGUCUGCCAAGUCUUGUCCCUUGAUCGUCUUCUGAGUUACAUGCACAAUAUUGAAUUCACUUAGUAGGAUUUGCCACUUGGCUAGCUUGCCAGUGGGCAUGGGCUUCUGAAAGAUGUAUUUUAAAGGGUCCAUCCUUGAUAUGAUAUACAUGGUAUAGGCGGGGUGAACUUCUUGCUGAGAUAGUAAAUGACCUGUUCCUUUCUCCUUGUUUUAUCAUGCUUCCCCAAAGCGCAACCAAAGGCUCCAUUUAUUACUACGAUGUAGAGUAAUAGGGGUCUACCUGGCUCGGGCGGGACCAAGACUGGUGGUGUUGAUAGGUAUUCCUUGAUUCUAUCAAAGGCCUUUAAGCAAUCAUCGGUCCAUUUGGUAGCGGCGUCCUUCUUCAACAUCUUAAAGAUUGGCUCACAUAUAACUAUAGACUGUGCUAUGAACCAGCUGAUAUAGUUAGUUCUUCCCAAGAAACUUAUCACUUCCUUCUUGUUCUUUGGCGGUGGAAGUUCCUGAAUGGCUUUGACCUUUGAUGGAUCCAGUUCUAUUCCUCUGCGAUUUACAAUAAACCCAAGCAACUUUUCGGUGGGAACCGCCAAAUACAUACUUCACGGGAUUCAGUUUAUGGUUGUACCUUCACAAUCUGUUGAAUAACUUCCUCAAAUCUUCCAUGUGAUUAAUGGAUUUCUUGGACUUGAUGAUAAAGUCAUCCACAUAUACCUAAAUUUCUUUGUGUAUCAUAUUGUGAAAAAUGGUAGUCGUGACCCUCAUAUAGGUGGCCCUGCAUUCUUCAGGCCGAACGACAUAAUUUUGUAAAAAUACAUCCCCGACGGUGUAAUGAAAGCCAUUUUCUUAGCAUCUUCUUCAUCUAUCUAGAUCUGAUGAUAAUCGGCAAAGCAAUAACCGAAUGACUGCAACUCAUGUUUGGCGCAAUUGUUGAUCAGGAUGUAUAUAUUUGGAAAAGGGAAGUCGUCUUUCAGACUGGCCCGGUUGAGAUCCCAAUAGUCGACACAGACUAUUACCUUCCCGUCCUUCUUUGGUACUGGUACAAUGUUGGCCAACUAUGUCAGAUACUCAAGUGCCCUGAGAAAUUUUGCUUUGACUUGCUUAGUGACUUCUUCCUUGAUUUUCAGACUCAUAUUAGGCUUGAACUUCCUGAGCUUCUGUUUUACCGGUAGACAUGUCGGAUCAGUUCGCAGUUUAUGGGCCACAAUAGAUGUACUUACACCAGUCAUGUCAUCAUAUGACCAUGCAAAUAUGUCCUCAUAUUCCAUUAGAAAUUCGGUGUAUUCCUUCUUUUCCGAUAGAGAAAAAUGAACGCUGAUUCGUGUUUUCUUGACAUUUUCUAUAUCUUCCAAGUUAACAAUUUUUGUCUUGUCCUGGAUGAACUUAGGUAUGGUUUCAAAGUUCUCAACUUUUUUGAUGAUUACCUCUAAUAUGUCAUUUUAUUGUGAGUCAAUGUCUAUUUCUUGCAUUGUCUCAUUGCAUGUCACAGUCAUUGGUUCAUCAAGAUAUGUAACAAUAAUGCUCUGCAAGUAAAGUAAUGAGAGAAAAAUAAAAAGGUGUUGAUACAAUAAAAAAAUCGAAAUGCUUUGAUAUAUUCCAUAAUCAUUUUGAACAUUAAAGACCUUAUUGCAGAAAUCAAAAUGCGAAAAGAAAAAAUUAUCUAGUAAAAAUAAAAAUAGUGCAUGAUGCUUGUUUAGCCUUGUUACCCCGUGGCUCGUCGGGCUCUGGUGGUCCUGAUGGUCCAAUUGUUGAGGUAUGCUCCUCUACUCACAGCUUGUAUGGAAGAACCUUCCUCCCCAUCCUCCUCGAAAACAACACAACAGUCAUUGUCAUUGUGUUCUAAAAAUAAGUUCUUCACCACAACAAGCGCUUCCUAUUCGUCUGUCCUAUAAGCAAUGUCGACCUGUUGGAAAGUCUGCUCCAAAGGUGGUAUUGGCAGUUCUAGCGGAUAGAAAGGACCGCGCCAUGGUGGCAACUAGUUGUUAAAUUUUUCCCAAGUGUACUCGUAUCCCAGAUCGAAAGUAAUGCCGCGCUUCUCGAGCUUUAUAGGUUUAACAAUCCCCUAUAGGUUCUGACCUUUGCCUGGUUUGUACCCACUCCAGUUCAAGAUACUCUCGAUAUUGUUGUCCUACCAUUUAUCCUUGCCAACAAUAUUUACUCGCUCGAUGUAGUGGUAGGUCUCUCCAUCUAACUUUCUUCUUCCCCUUAUUGUCGUCACCGUAAAUGAUCACUUUCUGGUGAUUUCAUUCAAAUUUUAUGGCUUGAUGCAGUGUUGAAGCCACAGCCCCCGCAGAACGAAUUUAAGGGCGCCCUAAUAGCAGGUUGCAGGAUGCUGGCACAUCUAUCACGGUAAGUUGACCUCGAACGAAGUUGGUCCCAUCUGCAGACACAGGCUAAUCUCACCGAUGGUGGACCUUUGGGACCCGUCAAAAGCUUUCACAUUGAUUGCUCCUUAUUUUAUCUGGUGUAGUCUUUGCCUAGCUUUUUGAGCGUUAUCAAUAGGCAUAUAUUAAAGCUGGAACCCCUAUCAAUCAGGAUCCUAGUGAUGAAGUAGUCUUCAUAUUGCACGGUAAUGUGCAAUGCUUUGUUGUGGCCCAACCCUUUAGCUGGAACCUCCUGCUAAUAGAAAGUGAUUUUAUGAAUUUCUAACACUUGUCCCACCAUAUUAGCCAUUUCUCUGUCAGUGAUAUUGCUUGGCACGUAUGCCUCACUCAACACCUUCAACAGAGCAGUUUUGUGUAUCUUGGAGUUUUGCAACAAGGAGAGGAUAAAUAUCUGCGCUAGUGUUUUGUUUAGCUGGUCAAUGACCGAAUACUCUUUGUUCUAUCUUCCUCCAAUGGUCAUCUGGACCUACUUCAGUGAUGAGUGGUCGAUUGGAAGCUCGCUUACUUGACUCAGCUAAGUGCUGUAGGGUAUAGAAUCUUCCAGUCCUUGUCAUAUCCUGUGCUGCAAUAGUCUCUUUAAACUUGACUUUGCCUUCCUCCUAUCCUCGACCAUGUAUUCCUAAGGAAUAGUUUUUGUAUGGAAUGACGACACAGUGGUGAUCGCCACUGGCAUUGAUGUGACUACCUUUACUUCAAAUGGGACAUUUUCCUUGGGUGGUAAAAUUGUAACCUCGAACGGCGCCGAUGUUUUGGCUGAUGGUGUUGACUCAAACUCAAGAGGGAUUGACACAUCUACCUCCAUGACCUUAGACAGUUGAAUCUGAACUAUAACAGGGUUGAGAGUAACUGUUGGUUUCUUUGGAUCAUCGCCUUCUGCGAUCAACACGAUGGAUCAUUCGGGAUCCUAAUCAUCUUCUAUCUCAAUCACGUGAACACCCCCGCCCUUGUGAUCUGGUAAGGGAUUGUUCCGAACAUUUGAUGUGGUUCCUUUUCUAUAACAACAUUGUUAUCAAUUAAGGACCAUAUUUUGUACUUUAUAGAGCGACAUUCGUCAAUGAUGUGUCCCUUCAUGCCAGAAUGGUAUGCACAAGAUUUGUUUGAGUUAACGUGCUGAGUAAGGUUCUUAAGGGUUGAAGGAUGGAUGAGGGUGAUAUAACUGGCAGUUUUUGAGUCUCUCAUAUAGCUGAUCAAUUGGUUCGGUAAUGGAUGUAUAUUGUUUUGGGGGCCUCCGAUCAAAAUUAAGUCAGGGCUUUGGAAAGUUUUGGCGUACGAGUGGUGAGUGGUAAUGAGAUGGUUAGGCAUUAUAGGCUUGGUAGACAUGUGCGGGUUGGGAAUAUCGAGGCGAGGUGUGAUGCUAUAUGGGAGGUGGAGGUGACUGAUAAGUUGGUUGUUGGGGCUUGGUAGGAAGAUUCUUAGUAGUUUGGAGCUGACUGCUAUGUGAGUGGAGGUAUAAGAUAGGUGUGGUUUUUGAGGGUAGACUUGGUCCUUUGUGUAACCAUUACAACCCCCACGUCUCUCUUCUUAGACACACCACCAGACUGUAAGACCUUGUUUAUGAUUUGCAACGCCUUUUGUUUGUAACCAUUCCGCUUUUGAUACCUUCUUCAAUUCACUACCUCAGCCUGAUGAUGUUGGAAAACUUAUGAUUUUCAAUCAACAUUAGCCAUUCAUAAUACAAACGAGUCCUAGGCCCGGACAAAGAAUUUGUUCAUCUGUUCCUCUUCUAAGGCAGGUCUGACCUUAGCAGAUUUUGACCUCCAGCGAGUAGCACACUCGUGAAAUGUUUCUGUAGGCUUCUUCAGAUUCUGAAUAUAGAGUACAUCCGACACAUUUUCUAUGUUAAAUCCGAACCUGUCCAUGAAAUCAGAGGCCAGAACUACACAAUUUGACCAUUUCUUAAGAUCCUGGAUGAUGUACUAGGAUAGUGCAUCUCCCUUCAGACUCCUCAUGAAUAGUUUCACGUGGAUCCUUUCGUCCUUUCCUACCCCGACCAGCUUACCGCAUUAUGCUCUAAGAUGGACCCUCAGAUCACCUGUACCAUCAAUCAUCUUGAACUUGGGAUGUUUCUACACCUCUGGCAGUUCAAUAUCUGGUUGUAUGCAGAGAUCUUCAUAGUUCAACCCUUCAAUACCGUCACUUCCUUUGACACCUUGGAUUCGACUAGUUAGUUUCUUAAGCUCUUCAGCCAAGUUUCUGAUGAGUAAAUCCUUUUCCUCGGUCUGAGGGGUGCAAGAUAUACGUUGGGUGGAGAGUGUCACGAUCUCCAUGUAAAUGGGAUUGUUGUGGUGGCUGGGUGUAUGGGUGUGGAAGUGGUCAUUUACGGAGUUUUGUGGUUUGGUGAUGAGUAACAGAUUGUUAUUUGGAGUGUGGCAAGUGUUGCAUUGGUUCUUUGUUGGGAUAGUGCGCUGAUUUGGUUGCUUUUGUGGAGGUGUGGUAUUUUAGCCAUUGGGGAAGAUGGUGUCUGGGGUGCUGAGGGAGAAGGAUAGGUUGGCCAGGUUCCGAACCUGAUGAAGCUCCUUGAAACAUCAACAAUUUCUUCUUGAGUUGUGACACAUUUUCAUUGGGAACCUGAAUACUAUGGCCAUCAAUGGCCUCUGUUAUUGUGAUUUCCUUUCUAACGUUCAAAUUUUCUAUUUUGCCCUUGUUCUUGUUCUUAACAGGACUUAGAUGAGGAGUGGGUGGAGGGCCCUUAGAUCUUGUGGAAUAGGAUGAUGUUGCAAGAGUGAACGAACUAGCAUUUGGGGAGGGGAAUAACAAAACAAAAUGAAACGAAAAGGUAACCAAAUUAGUUGGGAUUGUCACACCUCAUUUUCACUAUAUCCCAUGAAGGGCGUAGAAAUAGAGUUUUUCCAAUUAAAGGACAAUCGAAAUGAGAUUUAUUUAAUAAAAGAUUUUAGAGUCGCCACUUAGGAUAAGUUAUGGUGUCCCAAGUCACCGAUUUAAAAUCCUGAAUCGAGGAAGGUUUGACUCUGUAAUACACUCUGUGAGCCAUAAAUCCGAGUAAAGAAUUCUGUUAACCCAGAAGAAGGUGUUAGGCAUUACCGAGUUCCGUGGUUAUAGCACGGUAGAUCAACUGUUAUAUUCGGUUCGAUAAUAUUAUUUUAAUCUUUUGUACCUAUAUGCAAAGUCUGACUUUGAACUACUUUUAUUUAAUUUUUCAGAAUAUUGCAACAUCGUUAAAACACGUCUCAAACAAUGUCACAUAAAUGCACCCGUAGUUUUUGACAUAUUUCAACAUCGUUGGGUUUUGGAUUUGGGUCACAUAAAUGCGCACUCGUAUUUAGGAAAGUAAAUUAUUGAACUAAUGCGCUUAAAAUGAAUAUGAAUUUGCAAGUUUGCAAGCGCCAUGGAAUUUAAACUAAACGGCACACCUCGAAUUAUAUGAACUAAAUUAAAUUAGCUAAGAUACCCUUAUUUCAUGAAUUUGCUAGACGGGAACAAUAUGCAAAUGAUGAGCCUGACAUCAGAAGGAAUUGUCCUGGUGGUGCAGUAGGAAGGAAAGAUUGCUCAUCUAAAAUAGACUCCCGCAACUGCCGAGUGAGGGAUUGGUCUGUUGAUAAUCGCUCGCUGCGUAGCCUCUCAAAGGACAAUGCAUGUCAGCUUAAUUUUAUGGCGCACUCAGGAGAAAGUGCACUUGUAUGUAGUAGUAUAUUCCUAAAGCUUAGGUUAAUAGCUCAAGUAGUAUAGGGAUAAAAGAUUACAAUACCAUUGAAAUGUGGUCAACCUGCUGCGGCUAAUUCUGAUUUCUAUGAUCCAGUGAUGCGUCUCACUAAUGAAAAGGAUUAUUGAUGCAUGUCUCUGAUCCAUGAUGCAAUCAAGAACCUUAGGAUCAAUUACGAAAGACUAUUUAGCACAUGUACUAAUUUAACUAAUGAAUCCUAGCAAACAAAAUAGCUACGGAGAUUAACUGAAAUAUGUUUUGGGAUGUAAUCAAAACUUGAAAUAUUCAGGCUAAGACAUCAAGGUAAGGGUGAAGAAAAUUUCAGGAAGCUCAGUCAAUGCAACAUAACAUGGUUCGAAAGUUGAACAUAAUCCUAAAACUACUACUGAUUUUAGCUCAUCUUACUCAAAUUAGCCUCUUCUUGUUUAUAAAUGAAACUAAACAUGUACAAAACUACAGUUUAUAAUCAGCACAGAGAAGAUUUCCAGCAAAACAGAUUACUGUUAAGAGGUUUGGGAAGAUCAAUUUGAAGUCAGCACACCCAUCGACAGUUGUAUUGAAUCCUCAACAAAAUACCAUGGCUAACAAUGAAAGCCAUUCUAGGUCGACUAUACAUUUCCAGUACGAUAGUCUACUGAACUAUUAACUAACCUCCUGAACUUUAUGGCUCAAGAAGGGUGCAGUAAAAGGAGCAUAUAAGAACUAGAUGAAUCAUUAACUCAACAGCUCCAUCACAGUUCGUACACAACAAACAUGGAUUAAGGUAAACAUUAGGGAAUGCCAAAGUCUGGGCUUAACGUCCUCUUAAUUUCAAAUGUCAAAUAGAAACAAGAAUCAGAAUUGCACCUUUGACAUGAGAGCAGUCCAGGAACAUACACCAACAAUUCAGAAUUGCACCACACUGUUAACAUGGGCAUAAACUAUAUUCCAUCAGUUCAAACCUUGAACUUUCAUGAAUAACCACAAGACAUUUCUUUUGUUUGCUCAGAGGAAAAAACAAUAUGAACUGGGUUUUUAAGCUGGACCUCAAGUGCAGCUAAACACACUAGCAUACCAGAGAAAAACUGACCCAGAUCCUAGACUUUCUAGUACAUGGAGUAGGAAUGAAAUUUAAGAGAAAAAAACACAUGAGUCUAGCAAUAGCACUCUCUUUGACAGCUAAAAUUUAGACCAACUACAGCUUUAAAACAAGCAUUGAAUUGCUUAUCUCCCAACAUUCAUAGUAGAUCUUGAUAAACACCUCUCACUAAAUGACAUAACAAAAUAAACAAUCGUUUACUGAUUUCACAAGCUUAUAUUGAAGCUAAACAUGAACAACAAAUCCUACAUUAAUCUAGGCACAACAAAUUACAACUCAAAUUUGCAGGGAAAGAGCUGACUGUGUUCAACAAUGUAGCAACUCAAGCAGACAUCCUACCUCAAACAGGCUGUCACAUUUCCAUAAAAGAACCAUUCAAAUAGACAAUUAAACUCAGAAAAUUAAGUCGAGAUCUUGACAUAAAUGAAAACUCGACAUGAUGAUAGCAAUUCAAGCAUAAGCAUAGAGGACGACCCUUUAAACUCAGCUUUUACUGACUGAACAUACUCAACUACAUCAUACCACUGCGAAGAGGUUCACCAGCAAGAAAUUCGAUCAUAACACAAAAUAGACCACUAUAAACUAAAUCUCAUAGCUCAAAAGCACCAGAACAAAACAGAGUCACAUAGAAUAAAAGAGAGGAAAAUUGAACCUUAAUUUGCAAAUCUCUUCUUUAACAAUUAUAAACUCGACAAGAUAACAGUAGAAAACCAAGCUCGAACUUCAAUUUGUGUCUCCUUGGCACUCACAUCCGGAUUCAAAAAUAAAAAUUAUAUAUAUGUUUCUCUUAAGCUUUGAAAGAACUCUUCAAGAAAAGAAAUGGAAUCAGAAAACUAGAAAAAAUCGAAGCCUUUCAACUUUUCUCUAAAUUUUUGUUCUUCCUUCUCAAAAUCGAAAUUGGCCCUAUUUGAAAAUGAAUCCCUUGAAGAACGUAGGGCCCAUAUUGAAUGAACUCAAUCCAACGCCUCACACUCAUCCAGCGAUUCUGCUCCAGAACCUUCUAAUUUGUGGGAUAUAUCCAAUUCGCGCGGUGAGAGAGGAGAGGAAUCUCGCGUCAGAAACCGUUAGAACUGUGAACUUGGACUAGGUUGGGUCUUGGUUCGAAUGGUGUUUGGAGAAGAGCAGUAGGGCUGCGUCGUUUGAGCUCGGGAGAUUAGGGUUCUUGGGCAUUUUGUGUUGUAAUUUGGGGAGGGUCGGUUAGCGAGCAGGUCGGGGC